This 274-nucleotide ribosomal RNA is filed under the name uncultured bacterium. RNAcentral's name for it is "partial 16S ribosomal RNA". It matches the Rfam family "Bacterial small subunit ribosomal RNA", at positions 523 to 796 of the family's 1533-position model. The record is from RNAcentral.
AUACGGAGGGUGCAAGUGUUACUCGGAAUCACUGGGCGUAAAGCGCGCGCAGGCGGCUUGAUAAGUUGGAUGUGAAAGCCUACGGCUCAACCGUAGAACUGCAUCCAAAACUGUCAAGCUAGAGUCUGGGAGGGGAAGAUGGAAUUAGUUGUGUAGGGGUAAAAUCCGUAGAGAUAACUAGGAAUACCAAAAGCGAAGGCAAUCUUCUGGAACACUACUGACGCUGAGGCGCGAAGGCGUGGGGAGCAAACAGGAUUAGAAACCCGGGUAGUCC